GGGCGUACUUUACAAUACAGGAAAAUGUAAAUAAAGAUAGGUGCACUUUUAGGUGCAUAAGAAAAGAUGAUGUAGCAAUCACAAGACUGAGGUUUGGACACUGUGGGCUGAGGAGUGGGCUGGCUCUGAUUGGCAAACACCCAGGUGGCAGGUGUGAGUGUGGAGAAAGAGAGACUUGUAAAACAUGUACUUCUCCAGUGGGGGCGCUAUUCCAGGCAAAGGAGGACUCUGUACCGGAGGCUUGGAUCAGCCGGGGAAUCAUUUUUUAAUUUGCGCACCCUUUUAAAUCUGGAUUCAGUGGAUAAAACAAAGGAAUUGAUGGACUACAUAUUACAGUGUGCCUUGCUCUACACGACGGCCGGGGGCCAGAGGCGUCUGCGCGUCCACAACCUCAGUCUGAACUGCAGCUCCCCAGCUGAUGGAGCUGUUCAAGAGCUGCGAGACGGACUCGCUCAUCAACUUCUUCUCCAAAACAGACGCUGUUCCACCCGGUGAAGGGCGUGUACGAGCAGCUGUCCAAGGACUGUGUGGCUCAGGGCUGCAGUGUGGACCUCUUCCUGUUCCCCAGCCAGUACCUGGACAUCGCCACCAGGGGGAUGUGCCCGCACACCGGGGGCGCCGUCUACAAGUACAGCAACUUCCAGGUGGAGACCGACGGGGGAACACGAAGGAUGUGGAGAAGCCCAUCGGGUUUGACGCCAUCAUGCGCGUCCGCACCAGCUCAGGCUUCCGGGCGACGGACUUCUUCGGCGGCGUGUACAUGAACAACACGACGGACGUGGAGCUGGCGGCGAUGGACUGUGACCACGCCAUCACCGUGGAGCUGAAGCACGACGACACGCUCAGCGAGGAGACGGGCGCCUUCAUGCAGGGUGCCUUGCUCUACACCACGGUCGGGGGCCAGAGGCGUCUGCGCGUCCACAACCUCAGUCUGAACUGCAGCUCCCAGCUGAUGGAGCUGUUCAAGAGCUGCGAGACGGACUCGCUCAUCAACUUCUUCUCCAAAACAGAUUGCAGAACAUAUGCAACAGCGCCCCCUGGGGUCACACUUUUCGGAGCUGAUCGCCUACGGUGGCUGUGGACCUGGGGUGAGUGCCUCUCACCUGACCCCCCUAGAUAGGUUAGAUUGCACUCACCAAGUUCAGCACAGAACGUACAUAGGUUACGGGUAAUAACGAGCUAAAGUUUAAAAUAUAAUUUACAAUUCACAUUGAUUAUUGUAAUGUAUUCUGAUUCCAGGGAGAGCAAUUCUCAUUCCCACUCACCCAUUCAGAAUGACUGUUUGUGCAAAUUAAUUAUUGUGAAUUAAGUCAUUCACAGUAAUCAAUUCACACAGUUAUCCGCACACGUGUUCGAUUCCGGCCUAGGGCUAGGCCGGAAUCGAACCUAUGUCUCCAGAACCGAUAGGUAACAGCCUUACCACCUGCGCCACAUAGGCACCAGCUAGUGAAUGGUGUGAGGUUAUAAUUGACUUUCCAGUUCACUUGAAAUUGAUUAUUGUAAAAUAUUUUGAUUCCAGGGAGAGCAAUUUUGGUGUGAGUUGAACCCAUGAGGAGCACGUGUCUCAAGAAUUGGUCACCCGAACCCCAGGUCUGCAGUGCUUAUGAAGGCACGGCAGAAGGUUCCCACACUUCAUGGAGGAGGCCAAACAAAUGGCGGCUGGAUUAAUUCCACCAGUCUCCAGACAGAGGCGAAAAAGAGAAGUGAAUGACGUUUCCAGUGACAGAAUACAAAUAAUAUAUUGUAUAGGCUUGAUAUUGAUUUGACUGUUUGAUUCUUUUGACAGUGAUUUGGAGCUGAUGGCAGUUAGCAUGAAGAAGCUAUAUCUUUAAGCUUCUGUAGAUUAUUUGUUAAAUAAAUUGUGAGGAAACUUUGGUGUGGUUAUUCUUCAAUGUAUAUUUAUAUCAAAUUAUGAUGAUAUACUUUACAAAAAAUUAAAUUUGAUUCAAUUAGACAUUAAAAAAAAUUACUUCAUUCUAAUGGUCAAUUACUCAAUGAGUAAAGUGUAUAAUACACAAUUCCAUUAAAUAAUUGUCUACACACUAAAUGAGUUUAUUCGUCUAAAUAACGUUAAAGAAAUUAAGCAAUAAAAAUGCUUGCUGACAUGUCAUAAUAUUGUUUGAUUCUAAUGUUUUGGUCUAAUAAGUUUAAGAACGCAAAGAAAAAAUCCUGAGGUAUUUGUCUAAAUAACGUUAAACCUUUAUUAAGCUCUAAAAGUGGUUACUAACGUGUCGA
Molecule: RNA transcript, 2235 nt
Organism: Gadus chalcogrammus (walleye pollock)
Lineage: Eukaryota; Metazoa; Chordata; Actinopteri; Gadiformes; Gadidae
Exons: 8
Source: RefSeq, a predicted model, not a curated record